UACGGGGGGUGCAAGCGUUGUUCGGAUUUACUGGGCGUAAAGCGCGUGUAGGCGGCUUUGCAAGUCGGAUGUGAAAGCCCACGGCUCAACCGUGGAAGUGCAUCCGAAACUGCAUGGCUUGAGUCUCGGAGAGGAAGGUGGAAUGCUUGGUGUAGAGGUGAAAUUCGUAGAUAUCAAGCAGAACACCUGCGGCGAAGGCGGCCUUCUGGACGAUGACUGACGCUGAGACGCGAAAGCGUGGGGAGCAAACAGG
Molecule: ribosomal RNA, 253 nt
Filed under: uncultured bacterium
Lineage: Bacteria
Description: partial 16S ribosomal RNA
Rfam family: Bacterial small subunit ribosomal RNA
Source: RNAcentral